Molecule: ribosomal RNA, 440 nt
Filed under: uncultured bacterium
Lineage: Bacteria
Description: partial 16S ribosomal RNA
Rfam family: Bacterial small subunit ribosomal RNA
Source: RNAcentral
CCUACGGGAGGCAGCAGUGGGGAAUAUUGGGCAAUGGAGGAAACUCUGACCCAGCAACGCCGCGUGAAGGAUGAAGGUUUUCGGAUUGUAAACUUCUGUUGCGAGGGAUGAAGAAUGACGGUACCUCGUGAGGAAGCCCCGGCAAACUACGUGCCAGCAGCCGCGGUAAUACGGAGGAUGCGAGCGUUAUCCGGAUUUAUUGGGUUUAAAGGGUGCGUAGGCGGAAUGCCAAGUCAGCGGUAAAAUCGCGGGGCUCAACCUCGCUCCGCCGUUGAAACUGGCGUUCUUGAGUGGGCGAGAAGUAUGCGGAAUGCGUGGUGUAGCGGUGAAAUGCAUAGAUAUCACGCAGAACUCCGAUUGCGAAGUCAGCAUACCGGCGCCCAACUGACGCUGAAGCACGAAAGCGUGGGUAUCGAACAGGAUUAGAUACCCCAGUAGUC